Opisthocomus hoazin is the source of this 46-nucleotide non-coding RNA. NCBI's taxonomy places the organism in Eukaryota, Metazoa, Chordata, Aves, Opisthocomiformes, Opisthocomidae. The record is from Rfam.
CCAAAGGAUUUUCUUAAAUCCACUUAAUAUUUAUUAAUUCUCGUAC